This 1399-nucleotide ribosomal RNA is filed under the name Chromadorina germanica. Its description in RNAcentral is "SSU rRNA". It matches the Rfam family "Eukaryotic small subunit ribosomal RNA", at positions 33 to 1472 of the family's 1831-position model. The record is from RNAcentral. Lineage: Eukaryota; Metazoa; Nematoda; Chromadorea; Chromadorida; Chromadoridae.
UGUCUCAAAGAUUAAGCCAUGCAUGUCUAAGAAUAAACCGAAUAUGGUAAAUCCGCGAAUGGCUCAUUACAACAGCCAUAAUUUAUUGGAUCUAACAUCCUACUUGGAUACCUGUGGAAAAUCCAGAGCUAAUACAUGCACCAACAGCCAACUUCGGAAGGCUGGCAAUUAUUAGUACAAGACCAAUUGGCUUCGGCCAUCUAUUGGUGAAUCUGAAUAACUACGCUGAUCGCACGAGCUCGUCUCGGCGACAUAUCCUUCAAGUGUCUGCCUUAUCAACUGUCGAUGGUAGUUUAUUGGACUACCAUGGUUGUAACGGGUAACGGAGAAUUAGGGUUCGACUCCGGAGAGGGAGCCUGAGAUACGGCUACCACAUCCAAGGAAGGCAGCAGGCGCGCAAAUUACCCACUCUCAGAACGAGGAGGUAGUGACGAAAAAUAACGAGACAGUCUUCUAUGAGGUCUGUCAUCGGAAUGGGUACAAUUUAAACCCUUUAACGAGGAUCUAUUGGAGGGCAAGUCUGGUGCCAGCAGCCGCGGUAAUUCCAGCUCCAAUAGCGUAUAUUAAAGUUGUUGCGGUUAAAAAGCUCGUAGUUGGAUCUGCGACCAUCAAGACUGGUAGCCCAUUGGGUUUCACUGGUUCUUGUGGUCUCCUUACUGGUUUUUCCUUGGUGCUCUUAAUUGAGUGCCUUGGUUGGCUAGUGCUUUUACUUUGAAAAAAUUAGAGUGCUCAAAGCAGGCGUUUGCCUGAAUAGUGGUGCAUGGAAUAAUGGAAUAGGACCUCGGUUCUAUUUUGUUGGUUUUCGGAGCUCGAGGUAAUGAUUAAGAGGGACAGACGGGGGCAUUCGUACUGCUGCGUUAGAGGUGAAAUUCUUGGAUCGCAGCAUGACGAACAACUGCGAAAGCAUUUGCCAAGAAUGUUUUCAUUAAUCAAGAACGAUAGUUAGAGGUUCGAAGGCGAUCAGAUACCGCCCUAGUUCUAACCGUAAACGAUGCCAACUAGCAAUCCGCUGGCGUUAAUUUUGACUCAGCGGGCGGCUGCCCGGAAACGAUAAGUUUUUCGGUUCCGGGGGAAGUAUGGUUGCAAAUCCGAAACUUAAAGGAAUUGACGGAAGGGCACCACCAGGAGUGGAGCCUGCGGCUUAAUUUGACUCAACACGGGAAAACUCACCCGGCCCGGACACUGUAAGGAUUGACAGAUUGAAAGCUCUUUCACGAUUCAGUGGGUGGUGGUGCAUGGCCGUUCUUAGUUGGUGGAGCGAUUUGUCUGGUUAAUUCCGAUAACGAACGAGACUCUAGCCUACUAAAUAGUGCGUGGAUCUUCAAGUCCUCGCUACUUCUUAGAGGGACAGACGGCGUCUAGCCGUACGAAAUUGAGCAAUAACAGGUCUGUGAUGCCC